This is a long non-coding RNA of Helianthus annuus (common sunflower), 5005 nucleotides long. RefSeq lists it as uncharacterized. The record is from RefSeq and is a predicted model, not a curated record. The transcript is spliced from 11 exons. Lineage: Eukaryota; Viridiplantae; Streptophyta; Magnoliopsida; Asterales; Asteraceae.
GCUGAGAUUAAGUCUCAGCCACUUAAACUCCUAAAAAUAACUGUUGUGGUGGCAGUUCCGGGCAGUUGUGUACUCUCCCAUGGUUUGCGGCCCAUUUUCUCCACUAGGCACGGUUGCUAUAAAAUUGGGACGUGGGUAGAAAGCAGUUGCCGAUGGGUAGAAACCAGUUGCCGAGCAGCCUUAUAUAAUGUAAACCCUUGAAUCAAAAACGCCGUACCUUCAAUCGUUUGAUUUAUGGGUAAAUAUUGAUUUGAAGUUUUGAAGGAUGAUGAAGAAGAAUCCUUAGGCACGAAAAGAACAUGUGACAACAUUGGGAGGUGUUUUGUAAGCAUUAAGUAUUCAUAUAAAGAUGGUGAAUCUGAAAAUUUUGAUUGCUGUAGUGAUGUUUCUAAUAAUAAUCUUUGUGGUAACUGGUAAGAUGCCCUUUGAUGGCCCUUUCACGAGCUUCCCAAUCGAAAGGUAUAUCCCACACUAUACCAUAUGAAAGUUUGUACCUUUCAAUCCUUAGUUCAUCGGUAUUGAUCAUGUUUAAACUAAAAUGGGGGAUAAUAUGUUUCUUUUUGUUUCUGUCACUUAUGAAUACAGCACACAGAACGGGCUAAGGCUACAAGGACUCAUGUUUUAAGUAGUAAAUUUUGAGAAGCACUUUGAAAUCAGCCAAAGUUAAUUCAUUUGUUUAAACUUUUGAAGUUAUGUUGGAUGUGUUGUGUUAUUUUGAUUGAAAGGUGUAAGUAUGCUAUUCUAUCUGCUGUUUCUUUUUGUGUUUGAAUCUCGUAUUUGGAUUUUGAGGUUAAUUUUUUAUAACAUAAUUAAAAAUUGAUUGAUUUAACAGAUACAGUUUAGUGGUCAUUUUUUGUAGAAAAAUCCACUUAGAUUUAUCCACAGAGUUGCUUUCAUGGUUCUGAAUCCGGGUUCAUUACGAGUAUUAGAAUUACGUCUACUGUUUACGGUAAUUGUUCUAAAUUAAUGUGAGAUUAGUUUGCAUGUGUUUUCUUGGAAACCUAGGGUUAUAGUUAUCGGAACCUUCCCUUUAUAUGUUUUAUAAAUUGUUAUGAUUCAAGAUGCGAACUUCUUUAAUAGAUUAUCUUUUGGAAUUAUGAUAGUUUUAUGACUAAACUUGCAGGGCUCUUUUUUUAAAUGCUAAGUGCAUGUAUUCGGUAGUUGAUGGUUAUUCUGUUUACAUCAAGGGUCUCCCAAUGAAUGCUACACCUGCUUUCUUGGAGAAAGAGUUCAAGAAAUUUGGUCCUAUUACGCCAAAUGGCAUUCAAGUUCGAAACAACAUGGUACAUAUCCAUUUUAUUUUUUUCUAAGCGUUUGAACCGUUUUUUUUUUUUUUUUUUGUAACUUUGCAGGGAUUUUGUUUUCGCUUUGUUGAAUUUGAGGUGCCUGAUGCAGUUCAAAAGGCGAUUCAGGCGUCGCCAGUCGCGAUCAAUGGAUGCAAUGCUGUUGUUGAGGAAACACGCUCGACAAACACAUAUGCAAUUAGAUUACAUGUGGCAAAUGGAUUGGUUAAUGGGUUGAAAUAUUGAGUAACUUGGAUCAUAGUAGAUAAAAGCAUUGAGAACAUAUUAUUAAAGCAUAUAGGUAUAAUUUUCUUGAAACAGUAGCGCGUGGGAGAUUUCCUAUUUGAAGGGGCGGUGGAUUCAGAAAUGAAGGAAUGAGGGGUCGUGGAAACUUCACCGGCGGUAGAGUGUGCAAACGUGAUUUUGGGGGCAACAGGUGUGGUGGUCGUGGUGGUGAUGGAUAUCAAGGGAAACCAGGGAAUGGGUGUUAAUAAGAAUAUGGCAUCACGGGUUCCUGCCAAUGCUCGAGUGAUGGGGGGGGUUUAAUGACUUUGAUUUACUCUUAUUGGCUUAGUUAGGAUUUUUUUUGGCUAUUUGUCCGGUGUGCAGUUUUUUUAGCGUCAUGUCAUAUUGGGUGCAACACCUAUGGCUGCAUUCCAAAUAUGCUUGCAGGUGUGGCUGACAUCAUCACUUCUUGCUGAUGGGUUGGUAGUUGCUGAACAGGUAGAUGUUGUUUGUUUUGUGUUAUGGUUCAAGUGGCAAACGAUCUACCAGAACCGAAUGGUGUCCAGGAACCUUUAGACCCGCGUAGGACUUGAACGAAGCCUCUAUCAUUAAUCGGUUUCACUUUUUUGUUAAUCUGUUCUGCUCAAGAUUUUGAAGCGUUCAUCAUGAGUUCGUAAUUUCCGCCAUAGGAGAAAAAUUGCUUGCGAAACACAUCUUAAAGGAAUAUCAUCUGUUGUAUCUCAAAGUCAAGAAUCUUUGUUAAUGGUAGCUGGGUAGGGGAUCCACUGCAGAGCUCUUGCCUAUUGGCCUCGCCUAAAUCCCAAAUAUAUUUAGGCAGGUUGAUGCAUUUGGAAAAGACUCAUUUGGGGAAGCAGAGAAAAGAUCUCAAGGAAGUCAACACUCAAGUAGUGGAUCAAAUAGGGUCUGCUCCUUUAUUGUAUAUGGAAAAAUGGACGGGAUGACCCAUUUUGGUAAAGGGUUGAGGCCAAAAUGAUUACUUUUACAUACUCAAUGUUGAAAUUGUCAACAGCCCGUUUAAAGACUCAAUGUUGAAGUUGACUCCAACGUUUCUUUUUCAAGUUUUUAAGCAUAUUAUAAGUAUAAAUGUGAACUCAUUUGAUGAGUUCAUAUCCACACAUUUUAGAUCUUUUUAAAUAAAUAUUUUUUUUCUUUGUAAAUAAGAAAAACUUAUGUCAUUCCAACGCUAAAAAAAAUCCGUCCACCGGACGGGUAUACCACUAGUAAUACAUAGGAUCGGGACAGUAAAACCCACUUUUUUUAAAUAAAGAACUGGGAGCUUGGAGUAAAGGUUAAUGAGUUGAUAAAUUUUGGGUAAUGAGCUUGCAGGUGGGCUUAAUUCUUAAAAGAUUGGUUAGUAAUGGUCCAAUAGACUAAUAGGUUUAGAAGGUUGAUAUUUGUUAAUAUAUUAAUAAGCUAUUGUUUUACUUUUGUUAAUAUAUAUUUUUUAUAUCUGUAAAAACAUAAAAUAAAAAAAGUUAGAUUAUUCUUUUUAAGUUAUGUCAAAAAUUUUCAUGGGUGUCAUUUGAAUUUUGAUUUCACAAAAGAUCAUGGAUGUAGGGUUCCACGCAUACACCUUUUUAGGUCUGCCCCUCUGUUUCUAAGAUCAUUAGCUAAUAGUUUCAUGUUUACGUGUUGAUCUUUAUCUUGAAUAUUUGAAUUUGUGACUUAAAAGGCAAACCUUCUGAAGCAAAUCACAACAUGGGUAUAGAUUUAUUUGUCAAGAAUCUUUAGGGACCGAUCAAUUCAUUUCAAACUUAGAUUGCAAAAUUAAUGACUCAGAAUGUGUUGUAAUAGUAAAACGCAACAAGUAAAUAUUUGUGUUCAUAGAUUCAUUCACGUUGUUACUAUAUAAUAAAUCAACAAAACCCGUCCAACGGACGGGUAUUAAACUAGUUAAAGUAUUGUGUUUUCUAAGAAUUAUGAUCUUUAGAUAUUACACUUAUUCUAGAAUCUAUAUCUAUAUAUAUAAUAAACAAAACCAUUGAGGGACACUUGUCACCCUAUGGUUUAAGACAACUCAGCUGCACAUGUGGCAGUACAUGUGGCAUAGGUAGAAUUGAAAGAUUGGGCAAGCUUCUCUCAUACGAUUCGUUACUCUCUCUUUCUCUUUCCAAUUAAACCAUAAUAAUCAAAAAUCGUCUGUGUCUCUCUCUCUCUCAAUACCAUCGGCGAUAAUCUUCAAUCGGAUCUUUCAUUCAUCAUUCAACGGAUUUCAAGACUCUAAACUCGACGGUAAUCGUAUUUUGUUGUUUGAUUCUAUUAUUUUGUAGUUCGAUUUGUCUGUUUUCGUUUACACUUUAAUGAUAGUUAGGUUUUUAGUCGAACCUUCAAUCGGAUCUUUCGUUCUUCAUUCAACGGAUUUCAAGACUCUAAACUCGACGAGAUGGUGUACGGAUUCGCAGCCCGUGUGUGGAAGAACGACAAAAAAUCGCUGAAACUUACUGCUGAUUUUGUUAAAUGGAUUACAAUUGAAUGCUUCACAGUUGAGCUGGUGAAGUUUCAUCAUAUCCUGGUUCUAUUUCAUCGAAAUGGAUGAAAAUAAUGUGAGUAUGUUAAACAAUCUUGAUUGGAGAUCAAAGUUGUUUACCAUAAAGGUCAAAGUUUUAAGACUCUGGAUGCGUGUGAAUCCAAAGAGAGAAGGCGAAGUACUUGCUAUUGAAAUGGUGUUGAUGGAUGAGCAGGGGACGAAGAUCCAGGCUACUGUUUGGAAUAAGUUUAUGAAAAAACAUGAAAUUUUGCUUAAAGAAAAUGAGUCUUAUUAUAUUUAUAAAUCUCAACUUUCUGUGAUUAAGUCUAAUUUCAAACACUUUGGCAAGCAACAUGCUAUUAGCUUAAACUUUGAUACAUCUGUUAAAAAGUGUGAGGACUUUGAUGGAAGUGCGCACGGUAUCUGUUUAGCAUCAUUCCAGUCCAUUAAAGCCGGUGAAGUGGAUGUCAACUAUCGAGUUGGUUUGUACUUCAUCAUAUAUAACAACCACAUCGGCAUUUCUGAAAAUAUGAACAUAUUUUUUUAAAAUUAUGGAUUUUGUGUUGAGUAUAUUUGGGUUUGAUCAAUUUCUGUCUUUUACGGAUUUUAUUGGAUAUGUAGAUGAAUGGUCUGAACCAGAGGCGACGAAAACAAAGAUGGGAAAAGAUAGCAAAUAUAUGAACUUGCAAUUGUUGGAUGAAGAGUUUAUUUAUUGAUUUACCUAAUUUUUGUUCAUUCGAAGUUUAGUAUUAUAUAUUUAUUCUUUUAUGAUAUCCUUUGAUUUUUUAAAUUUCUAUUCAUGUAGGGGUAUUAAAUUAAACUGCACCUUAUGGGACGAGUACUAUGAUGAGAUGUUUGACUACAUUCAGAGCCAUAAACAGGAAGUCCAUGUUGUUCUUCUUGUGCAGUUUGGUAGUUUCAACAAGUAUAAAGGGAAGACAACACUCUCUAAUGCUUUCCAUAUAACAAGAUUGUUUAUCAAUGCGGACAUAGAGGAGAUUCGGUCAUU